AACGAACGCUGGCGGCAUGCCUAACACAUGCAAGUCGAACGAGACCUUCGGGUCUAGUGGCGCACGGGUGCGUAACGCGUGGGAACCUGCCCUUAGGUUCGGAAUAACUCCCCGAAAGGGGUGCUAAUACCGGAUAAUGUCUUCGGACGAAGGAUUUAUCGCCUCUGGAUGGGCCCGCGUUGGAUUAGCUAGUUGGUAGGGUAAUAGCCUACCAAGGCGACGAUCCAUAGCUGGUCUGAGAGGAUGAUCAGCCACACUGGGACUGAGACACGGCCCAGACUCCUACGGGAGGCAGCAGUGGGGAAUAUUGGACAAUGGGCGAAAGCCUGAUCCAGCAAUGCCGCGUGAGUGAUGAAGGCCUUAGGGUUGUAAAGCUCUUUUACCCGGGAUGAUAAUGACAGUACCGGGAGAAGAAGCCCCGGCUAACUCCGUG
Molecule: ribosomal RNA, 433 nt
Filed under: uncultured bacterium
Lineage: Bacteria
Description: partial 16S ribosomal RNA
Rfam family: Bacterial small subunit ribosomal RNA
Source: RNAcentral